This is a long non-coding RNA of Sinocyclocheilus grahami, 271 nucleotides long. RefSeq lists it as uncharacterized. The transcript is spliced from 3 exons. NCBI's taxonomy places the organism in Eukaryota, Metazoa, Chordata, Actinopteri, Cypriniformes, Cyprinidae. The record is from RefSeq and is a predicted model, not a curated record.
UCCUGAGAGAAAUUCGCGCCCUUCAGUCAACCAGCGCGCGCGCGGUCUCCAGGGCAACGGUGCGUUUGGCAACCGCUGUAAACAACGCGUCCUGCCACACUGAGCGAACAAAACAGCUAAAGUCAUGGCUUUCUGCAACACCGAGUAUUUCGACCAGAUUGGGGAUAUUCAGAAGAGCAUGCACGAACGUGAGAGGAGGAGACAUGAGCUGGAAGAAAUAUUGCUUGAUUACUUAAAAUCAGAGGAAAGAUUGACUAAGUUGAAGUGUGCC